GAUUACCCGCUGAACUUAAGCAUAUCAAUAAGCGGAGGAAAAGAAACUAACAAGGAUUCCCCUAGUAACGGCGAGUGAAGAGGGAAAAGCCCAAAUUUGUAAUCUGGCUCUUUUAGAGUCCGAGUUGUAAUUUUGAGAACUGUUUUCAGUGCUGGACCAUGUUUAAGUCUGUUGAAAAACAGCAUCAUUGAGGGUGAUAAUCCCGUUCAUGAUAUGGACUACCAGUACUUUAUGAUACAGUCUCUAAGAGUCGAGUUGUUUGGGAAUGCAGCUCAAAGUGGGUGGUAAAUUCCAUCUAAGGCUAAAUAUAGGUGAGAGACCGAUAGCAAACAAGUACCGUGAGGGAAAGAUGAAAAGAACUUUGGAAAGAGAGUUAACAGUACGUGAAAUUGCUGAAAGGGAAACAAUUGAAGUUAGCCUUGUUAUUGUCAGUUCAGCUCUUUUAGAGUGUAUUCUGAUGAUUAACGACCAACAUCAGUCUUUGAGUGCUGGAUAAGGGUUUUGGAAAUGUAGCAGUCUCGGCUGUGUUAUAGUCCAUUACUUUGAUACAGUGCUUGGGAUUGAGGAUCGCAGUAAGCCAUUUUAUGGUGGACCAAAUUUUUGGUCUUCUUACUGAGGAUGUUGGUGAAAU
Molecule: ribosomal RNA, 631 nt
Filed under: Neophysopella ampelopsidis
Lineage: Eukaryota; Fungi; Basidiomycota; Pucciniomycetes; Pucciniales; Crossopsoraceae
Also listed under: 1 other name
Description: partial large subunit ribosomal RNA
Rfam family: Eukaryotic large subunit ribosomal RNA
Source: RNAcentral